RNAcentral lists this ribosomal RNA (460 nucleotides) under uncultured bacterium. Its description in RNAcentral is "partial 16S ribosomal RNA". It matches the Rfam family "Bacterial small subunit ribosomal RNA", at positions 338 to 795 of the family's 1533-position model. The record is from RNAcentral.
CCUACGGGUGGCAGCAGUGAGGAAUAUUGGUCAAUGGCCGUAAGGCUGAACCAGCCAAGUCGCGUGAAGGAAGAAGGAUCUAUGGUUUGUAAACUUCUUUUAUAGGGGAAUAAAGGUAUCCACGUGUGGAUAUUUGCAUGUACCCUAUGAAUAAGCAUCGGCUAACUCCGUGCCAGCAGCCGCGGUAAUACGGAGGAUGCGAGCGUUAUCCGGAUUUAGUGGGUUUAAAGGGUGCGUAGGUUGUUUUUUAAGUCAGCGGUGAAAGUUUGUGGCUCAACCAUAAAAUUGCCGUUGAAACUGGAAGACGUGAGUGUGUGUGAGGUAGGCGGAAUGCGUGGUGUAGCAGUGAAAUGCAUAGAUAUCACGCAGAACUCCGAUUGCGAAGGCAGCUUACUAAGCCAUAACUGACACUGAAGCACGAAAGCGUGGGGAUCAAACAGGAUUAGAUACCCGAGUAGUC